Molecule: long non-coding RNA, 1008 nt
Filed under: Pogona vitticeps (central bearded dragon)
Lineage: Eukaryota; Metazoa; Chordata; Lepidosauria; Squamata; Agamidae
Description: lncRNA (ENSPVIG00000010322.1)
Source: RNAcentral
AUGAAAACCAAAGGGAGGAAAAAAAAUAACCAGGGAAAGAGAAACUGGCCCCGAGAGGCAGAACACGCCCGAUGGAAAGAGCACGACAGAUUAGAAGGAACGUGCAUUGCAUGCUCAGAGGCUCUUCUUUUCUGGAGGGUUUCCUCCCUCCCUCCUUCUUCCUUCUGGAACACAACGCAAAUAAAGAGGAAAACCCACGAAGUGAAGCAGAGGCACCCGCUGCCGCCCCGAUGCUCUCAAGGCACGGGGGGGGGCUUCCUCCGCGGCAAGAGGGGGGGAGUUCCGCCGGCUCCUGCCUCAGGCUGCCUGGGUUCGUGGGGCGGAUCAGGCUUUUCCAGAGGGGAGCCCUGCCAGCUAAAGGAAGGUCCCGUGCCCACACACACACAAACACACCUCACCUUCCAGGGGUGUCCUGUCGGGACCCAUGGCCCCCCCAGCCAUCCAGCUCUCCCGCCGGGUUAUGCUGCUGCUGCUGCUGCUGCUGCUCCAGCUGCUGCGCCCAACCUGGCCGGGCUGCUGAUCCCGCAGAGGCGCUGCCAUGGAAAUCAGAGACGCCCCUGGAUUGGCCGAUGUCUCGCCGCGCCCCAUUGGCCGAGCUCGGCUGAUGGACAGGGGCGGAGGGCGGGGAGGAGUUCCCCCCUCCCGUUUUUGGGAAGUUCCCCCCUCCGCCCUUGCACGCUCCAAACCCCCAGCCAGCCCCCCCCACGUGGUGCAGCCGGAGGAGGGAGGGAGGGGCGCACAUCUGGAGGUGUUGCACAGCUGGCCGGCCAGGGGAGAAGCAGCUGCAGGGAGGGAACAUCUGUCAGGAGGAGGCCGAUGGGUUGCAAUCAGGCCAUCAUCCUCCCUGCUGCUUUGUUAACUAUUAUUCUUACCAUUCCUCCUCUUAUUGCCAUUAUCCUUAUAAUUUGCUUUUCUCAGUCCUCUUCCCUCUGUGCCACCCAGUCGCUUCCAGUCCUCAGGAGGCCAACUAAAGGCAGGCUAAGUUUCCAAACAAUCCUUGUAACGUAA